UAGUCCACGCUGUAAACGAUGGGUACUAGGUUUGGUGGGUCUUGACCCCCGCCGAACCGGCGCUAACGCACUAAGUACCCCGCCUGGGAAGUACUGUCGCAAGACUAAAACUCAAAGGAAUUGACGGGGGCCCGCACAAGCGGUGGAUCAUGUGGUUUAAUUCGAAGCAACGCGAAGAACCUUACCUGGGUUUGACAUCCUUUGACAUCCGUAGAGAUACGGCUUUCGUAGCAAUACGACAAAGUGAC
Molecule: ribosomal RNA, 248 nt
Filed under: uncultured bacterium
Lineage: Bacteria
Description: partial 16S ribosomal RNA
Rfam family: Bacterial small subunit ribosomal RNA
Source: RNAcentral